CUGACAUCCCCGCUGACUCCUGCCCUGCUCCCUUCCCAGGAGAUUCCUCCAGAAGAUGCCCAGUCUCCUAGUCCUGUGCCAACCCGCCUUGACUCCAAUGAAAAGAUCCUGGCCCUUGUGGGAGAGCUGGAGGCUGUGCGGGAGUUCCAGGCAUCCCAUCAGCAGGAGCGAAGAAAGGACCUCCGCAGCUGCCAGGAAUGCCUCAGGUCCUUGAAGGCCAUGCGAGACAACCUGCAGGCCAUCCAGAGCCGUCUCUGGCAAGUGGAGGCCAAGCUGGGCAUUCGGGUUCCUCCCCAGGGGGAAGCGGAAGAGGAACUGGAAGGAGAAGGGUCCCUUGGUGCCCCACCACUCGGAUGAGAACUGGAUAAGAGAUUCCAUGGACAGAUCAUUUGUGAGGUGGCGUGAGUAGAGGAGAAUGGGACACUGUCUAUGGUACGUCAUGCACAACAGCUCUCUGUUGUAGUUCUCCUCGUGCCCUCGCCCUGAGUUGCAAAGACCUUAUGGGGGACUAUCUGAUUGGGCCCCAGCAGUGGAGGGGGUCAUCAUAAAUUUGUGUAUUGGCAUUCUAUAGGAAGAACACACCGCACUGCAAUAAAGCUAAUCUGGAAAUAAAGUGGAAACUGCUCAGCACUUCCAAUAUAGCAAACUCACAGCAACACAGCAAAUAACCCUGUUCAUACAAUUAACAUGUACAGUAGAGUCUCACUUAUCCAAGCCUCGCUUAUCCAAGCCUCUAGAUUAGCCAAGCCAUUUUUAUAGUUUUCAAUAUAUCGUGAUAUUUUGGUGUUAAAUUCGUAAAUACAGUAAUCACAACAUAACAUUACUGCAUAUUGAAUUACUUUUUCUGUCAAAUUUGUUGUAUAACAUGAUGUUUUGGUGCUUAAUUUGUAAAAUCAUAACCUAAUUUGAUGUUUAAUAGGCUUUUCCUUAAUAAAAUAAUAAUAAUAAUAAUAAUAAUAAUAAUAAUAAUAAUAGUAAUAACUUUAUUUUUAUAUCCCCGCCCCAUCUCCCCGAAGGGACUCGGAGCGGCUUACAUGGGGCCAUGCCCGACAACAAUACAAUAACAGCAAUAAAACAAUAAAACAAGGUCAGCAAUAAAACAAUGUCUUAUCAGUAAAAACAUAACAUCAAUGAACAGUUAUAAAAGUCAGCGCACGGCAUAAAAUGGUUAAAAACAGAGCUAAAAACGCGGAGCUGGGCCCAGAGGAAAAACUUCACCGUGGUAGAGGUAGUUACACAAUUUAAAAUCAAUAAAGUGCUAAAUAAUCGUGGCCUGGCAACCUAAUAUCACAUGAGCAGGAAAAUCAACCCUAUAAUGAUUAGCCCUCAAAGGCUUUUUGGAAGAGGCAGGUCUCUUAAUCUCUCCUUAUUAUCCAAGAUAUUCGCUUAUCCAAGCUUCUGCCAGCCCCGUUUAGCUUGGAUAAGUGAGACUCUACUGUAUUAGUAUUGGAGCUCCCUCUAGUGGUUACUCUUGAGCUCUGCAGCCUCUUCACCUAUUACAGUAGAGUCUCACUUAUCCAACAUAAACGGACCCGGCAGAACAUUGGAUAAGCGAAUAUGUUGGAUAAUAAGGAGAGAUUAAGGAGAAGUCUAUUAAACAUCAAAUUAGGUUAUGUUUUUACAAAUUAAGCACCAAAACAUCAUGUUACACAACAAAUUUGACAGAAAAAGUAGUUCAAUAGGCAGUAAUGCUACGUAGUAAUUACUGUAUUUACGAAUUUAGCACCAAAAUAUCACGAUGUAUUGAGAACAUUGACUACAAAAAUGGCUUGGAUUAUCCAGAGGCUUGGAUAAGCGAGGCUUGGAUAAGUGAGACUCUACUGUUUAUAUAAUUACAAUAAUUAUUAUGUCAUAUAUAAUUACUAAUCUAUUAUUACAAUAAUAGGAAUAAUACUAUCAGUAAUAAUAACUGCUUAUGCAUGUUGGAUAAGUGAGACUCUACUGUACUCCCCUAUUUUUUAAUGAUCCCAGAGUGCUCUCUGGUAGCUAAAGACUACACUUCCCAUCAUCUCUCACCCUAGUUAAAGGAGCUGUUGAGCACGAUAAUCUAGCAACAUCCUAUGGGCCACAUGGGAAAUACCACGUGAACACCAAGCACAAAGUAGCGGCAUGCAACAACAUUCUGCAAAAACUUAUUGGCAGCGCAUGGGGUGCAGACUCAAAAUUAAUAAUAAUAAUAUAAUAAUAAUACUUUAUUUUUAUACCCCGCCUCCAUCUCCCCGAAGGGACUCAGUGUGGCUUACAUGGGGCCAAGCCCAAAUAAAACAAUAAAACAUAGAGAAACAUCAAAAUACAAAUACAGUAGAGUUUCACUUAUCCAAGCUAAACAGGUCGACAGAACCUUCGAUAAGCGAAUAUCUUGGAUAAGAAGGAGAGAUUAAGGAAAAGGCCUAUUAAACAUCAAAUUAGGUUACGAUUUUACAAAUGAAGCACCAAAACAUCAUGUUCUACAACAAAUUUGACAGAAAAAAGUAGUUCAAUACGCAGUAAUGUUAUGUUGUAAUUACUGUAUUUACGAAUUUAGCACCAAAAUAUCAUGAUAUAUUGAAAACAUUGACUGCAAAAAUGGCUUGGAUAAUCCAGAAACUUGGAUAAACGAGGCUUGGAUAAGUGAGACUCUACUGUACAGUUAUUAAAAUCCAACAUUCCAAAACAAAAGAAAAGAAAUAUUAUUCAUGUUAAAAGCAUAUUAAAAUGUAGAUUUGGCAGUCC
Molecule: long non-coding RNA, 2712 nt
Organism: Anolis carolinensis (green anole)
Lineage: Eukaryota; Metazoa; Chordata; Lepidosauria; Squamata; Anolidae
Source: Ensembl